This 1216-nucleotide ribosomal RNA is filed under the name Bacillus amyloliquefaciens. RNAcentral's name for it is "bacterial SSU rRNA". It matches the Rfam family "Bacterial small subunit ribosomal RNA", at positions 41 to 1246 of the family's 1533-position model. The record is from RNAcentral. Lineage: Bacteria; Bacillati; Bacillota; Bacilli; Caryophanales; Bacillaceae.
GAGGUGCUAUACUGCAGUCGAGCGGACAGAUGGGAGCUUGCUCCCUGAUGUUAGCGGCGGACGGGUGAGUAACACGUGGGUAACCUGCCUGUAAGACUGGGAUAACUCCGGGAAACCGGGGCUAAUACCGGAUGGUUGUUUGAACCGCAUGGUUCAGACAUAAAAGGUGGCUUCGGCUACCACUUACAGAUGGACCCGCGGCGCAUUAGCUAGUUGGUGAGGUAACGGCUCACCAAGGCGACGAUGCGUAGCCGACCUGAGAGGGUGAUCGGCCACACUGGGACUGAGACACGGCCCAGACUCCUACGGGAGGCAGCAGUAGGGAAUCUUCCGCAAUGGACGAAAGUCUGACGGAGCAACGCCGCGUGAGUGAUGAAGGUUUUCGGAUCGUAAAGCUCUGUUGUUAGGGAAGAACAAGUGCCGUUCAAAUAGGGCGGCACCUUGACGGUACCUAACCAGAAAGCCACGGCUAACUACGUGCCAGCAGCCGCGGUAAUACGUAGGUGGCAAGCGUUGUCCGGAAUUAUUGGGCGUAAAGGGCUCGCAGGCGGUUUCUUAAGUCUGAUGUGAAAGCCCCCGGCUCAACCGGGGAGGGUCAUUGGAAACUGGGGAACUUGAGUGCAGAAGAGGAGAGUGGAAUUCCACGUGUAGCGGUGAAAUGCGUAGAGAUGUGGAGGAACACCAGUGGCGAAGGCGACUCUCUGGUCUGUAACUGACGCUGAGGAGCGAAAGCGUGGGGAGCGAACAGGAUUAGAUACCCUGGUAGUCCACGCCGUAAACGAUGAGUGCUAAGUGUUAGGGGGUUUCCGCCCCUUAGUGCUGCAGCUAACGCAUUAAGCACUCCGCCUGGGGAGUACGGUCGCAAGACUGAAACUCAAAGGAAUUGACGGGGGCCCGCACAAGCGGUGGAGCAUGUGGUUUAAUUCGAAGCAACGCGAAGAACCUUACCAGGUCUUGACAUCCUCUGACAAUCCUAGAGAUAGGACGUCCCCUUCGGGGGCAGAGUGACAGGUGGUGCAUGGUUGUCGUCAGCUCGUGUCGUGAGAUGUUGGGUUAAGUCCCGCAACGAGCGCAACCCUUGAUCUUAGUUGCCAGCAUUCAGUUGGGCACUCUAAGGUGACUGCCGGUGACAAACCGGAGGAAAGGGGGGGAUGACGUCAAAUCAUCAUGCCCCUUUUGACUGGGUUACACCGGGCUAAAUGGAGGGGACAUGCGG